GGUGCUCCUAAGAGGUGUUGUUCAGAGCCUUUGGUUCUUCUGGAGAAGCUUGUCAUGCUGCUGGCUUCCCUGAUAUGAACUUGGCUGUUCUCACCAGAGGAGCUUGGGACCUUGUUGCUGAGAAUGACUACAGUUCACUUUGGGGGAGCUGUGCUCCUUACUUUGAGCAUCACUUCCUGGAUCCAGUAGUUUGUCUUCUUGUAUUAGAUUUGAUGGCAUGGACAGCUAUUCCAAAGAUAGCAGGAUAUAUUAUGUAUCAAGUCUGAGGGUGUAGGCAACUACUUUGAAGACAGUGAGAAUCACUAUGAUACCCAUUUUGGUUUAACUAUUACCUUCUUUUGAAGUCUUGUAAUGUCUCCAGUGUUUCAUUUUUAUUUAUUUUGCUGUGUACUGUUUUGUUCAAUUUUAUUAUACCUGAUGCUAUGGACAAUUCUUUUGAAGAUAACAAGAGGCAUUAUGGUAACCAUUGCUGAACACCUUGUGUUUUAGUUUUACAUCAUGUACUAUGUCCAUCCUUUUUUUUUUACUUACUCUAUUUGGUUUGACACAUUUCAUUUUAUUCUCUUCAAAAAAAGUAAUAAGAACUGCAGGAGUAAAAAAAACUCAAAAUGUAUCAUUGUUAUUGUAAAAAAGAGAGGAAAAGAAAGUGCUCUAAAGGAUAUAAUUACAUGUAUGUUUAAGUGUGUAGGAUUGAUAACCAUAUUACUAAGUUUUUGUUGGAUCGUUGGACAGAACUGUUUGCAGUCUCACUAUUUGAAUGUCCAUUUUGCGUGCUUUAAUUUUGCAACUUGAACAACUAUUUCUAAGAAGACAAUAUGCAAUUUAUCAAUUAGUGAUUUCUUACUGUUUAAUGUUUUUGAAAUUCUAUAUCACUUCUACCCUUUUGUUAUGUUUUGCUUUUUUUCUCUUUAAAUGCAAAAAAAGAAAAAAGAAUCCAACAACUGCAAGACAACGUGAAAAAGAACAACAUAAAACUGUUGGAGCCAGUGAAAAUGCAAGAGUCAACACAAACAUCAUUUUAAAAAAAAAAACCUGCUCAGAGGAGUAAUGGCAGAAAACUUCCCAAUAUAGAAAAAGAAUCUGACAUUCAGAUAUGUGAGUCAUACAGAACUGUAGUCAGUCAUGACCAAAAUACAUCUACACCAAAGAAUAUAACAAUCAAGAUUACAGAAAUUCAACACAAGAAGAAAAUAUUAAAAACUGUUAGGAAAAACAUUACCAAUAAAAGAAAGCUCAUCAGAAUCACAGGAGACUUCUCAAUAUGAAUUCUUUAGUCUAGGAGAGAUUGGAGUAAAAUAUUUCAAUCCCUGAAAAAGAAUUUCAACCCCCAUCAAUUAUAUUUCAUAACUAAUGGAGAAAUAAUAUACUUCUGUAACAAAGAACCACUGAAGAAAUUCAGGAUUACAAAAUCAGCUCUACAAGGGGUUCUGAAAGAUAUUCUAGGAAGAAAUAUCAAAGCCUACAAUUCUAAGAGUGCCAAUAGA
This is a long non-coding RNA of Cavia porcellus (domestic guinea pig), 1484 nucleotides long. RefSeq lists it as uncharacterized. Lineage: Eukaryota; Metazoa; Chordata; Mammalia; Rodentia; Caviidae. The record is from RefSeq and is a predicted model, not a curated record. The transcript is spliced from 3 exons.